Molecule: ribosomal RNA, 499 nt
Filed under: uncultured bacterium
Lineage: Bacteria
Description: partial 16S ribosomal RNA
Rfam family: Bacterial small subunit ribosomal RNA
Source: RNAcentral
GAUGAACGCUGGCGGCGUGCCUAAUACAUGCAAGUCGAGCGAACAGACGAGAGUUCUGGCGCUCUCUGACGUUAGCGGCGGACGGGUGAGUCACACGUGGGUAACCUACCUAUAAGACUGGGCUAACUUCGGGAAACCGGAGCUCAUACCGGAUAAUAUUUAGCUUCGCAUGGAGCAAUAGUGAAAGACGGUUCUGCUGUCACUUAUAGAUGGACCCGCGGUGUAUUAGCUAGUUGGUGAGGUAACGGCUCACCAAGGCAACGAUACCUAACCGACCUGAGUGGGUGGUAGGCCACACUGGGACUGAGCCACGGCCCAGACUCCUGCGGGAGGCCGCAGUAGGGAAUCUUCCGCAAUGGACGAAAGUCUGGCGGAGCAAUGCCGCGUGAGUGAAGAAGGUUUUCGGAGCGUAAAACUCUGUUGUAAGGGAAGAACAAGUACGUUAGUAACUGAACGUAGCUUGACGGUACCUUAUCAGAAAGCCACGGCUAACUACGUG